Molecule: ribosomal RNA, 497 nt
Filed under: uncultured bacterium
Lineage: Bacteria
Description: partial 16S ribosomal RNA
Rfam family: Bacterial small subunit ribosomal RNA
Source: RNAcentral
GAUGAACGCUGGCGGCGUGCCUAAUACAUGCAAGUCGAGCGAACAGACGAGGAGCUUGCUCCUCUGACAUUAGCGGCGGACGGGUGAGUAACACGUGGAUAACCUACCUAUAAGACUGGGAUAACUUCGGGAAACCGGAGCUAAUACCGGAUAAUAUAUUGAACCGCAUGGUUCAAUGGUGAAAGACGGUUUUGCUGUCACUUAUAGAUGGAUCCGCGCCGCAUUAGCUAGUUGGUAAGGUAACGGCUUACCAAGGCAACGAUGCGUAGCCGACCUGAGAGGGUGAUCGGCCACACUGGAACUGAGACACGGUCCAGACUCCUACGGGAGGCAGCAGUAGGGAAUCUUCCGCAAUGGGCGAAAGCCUGACGGAGCAACGCCGCGUGAGUGAUGAAGGUCUUCGGAUCGUAAAACUCUGUUAUUAGGGAAGAACAAAUGUGUAAGUAACUAUGCACGUCUUGACGGUACCUAAUCAGAAAGCCACGGCUAACUACGUG